CGGUGGCGAAAGCAAGAAGGAUACACCUGUUCCCAUGCCGAACACAGAAGUUAAGCUUCUUAACGCCGAAAGUAGUUGGU
RNAcentral lists this ribosomal RNA (80 nucleotides) under Lactobacillus helveticus DSM 20075 = CGMCC 1.1877. Lineage: Bacteria; Bacillati; Bacillota; Bacilli; Lactobacillales; Lactobacillaceae. The record is from RNAcentral.